This 77-nucleotide transfer RNA is filed under the name Mesorhizobium sp. NZP2234. Its description in RNAcentral is "tRNA-Met". It matches the Rfam family "tRNA". From Rfam's summary of the family: Transfer RNA (tRNA) molecules are approximately 80 nucleotides in length. Their secondary structure includes four short double-helical elements and three loops (D, anti-codon, and T loops). Lineage: Bacteria; Pseudomonadati; Pseudomonadota; Alphaproteobacteria; Hyphomicrobiales; Phyllobacteriaceae. The record is from RNAcentral.
GGCGGGGUAGCGCAGUCUGGUAGCGCAAUCGGUUCAUGCCCGGUAGGUCGGCGGUUCAAAUCCGCCUCCCGCAACCA